Molecule: non-coding RNA, 330 nt
Organism: Cinara cedri
Lineage: Eukaryota; Metazoa; Arthropoda; Insecta; Hemiptera; Aphididae
Source: the annotation of a GenBank genome assembly
CCGCCGUUUUAGCCACUCCUAUGAGACUGACUUCACACGAUCACUUACCCCGGUGGUUUUAAUUACAAAUCACAUACUAGGCUCGCGCGUUGAGCGCGCCUGUUAGAUGGAUAACCCUGAUAAGUACUGUUUUCAUCAACCAGGCCUGGAGGUUCUGCAACGUUCGGCCGCCGGUUUGACGCUGUUUGGUUUCGUGUCGUUUUCAUCUCACAAAGAAAAAGAAAGAAAGAUUGACAUACCUCGCACGUGGGCGCAGUCACUGUUGUAGGUGGAAAUUUAGGAAGGUAGGACACAGACGGGAAUUUAAUGUACAUCUGUAAGCAACGAUAA